Long non-coding RNA from Bradysia coprophila, 981 nucleotides. RefSeq lists it as uncharacterized. Lineage: Eukaryota; Metazoa; Arthropoda; Insecta; Diptera; Sciaridae. The record is from RefSeq and is a predicted model, not a curated record.
AAUUGGUAGAAGAAAACUAAAAUUGACUGUUCAGUAAUGUAAGCAUUAGAAUCAUUUCGAAAGAAAUAAAUAUCAACAUUUUUCAUUUGCCAUUGUCGAACGUUUUCUCCGCCCAAAUAUUUGAAUGCAAAUUUUGCAAUCAGUACCCGCCAAUUAUAAACUCAUACACGGUGUGUAUAAAUAAACCUCAAAAAUAUAUUUGUUGUGCAAAUUGAACAACCAGAGAAGUAACAACAUGCGACACCGUAUUGUGAUUUUGAUGUUUUUGUUUGGUGUUUACUUGCAAUCAACAGGAAAAUUCAUUAUAUUUUGCGAAUAUGGCAAUUACAGCUAUCACCGAUCAUUGUAUGCUUGUGUGGCAACACCCGGUGAAAUGUGCAAUAAGAAUUGUACUGACAUUGUCGCAGAAGGAAAACAUUUGUAUGGAAAAACUGAUGCAGAUGUACAUGCAUUUGUCAUGGAAAAUAGGAAUAUUACUGAAUUACCAAGAAAUUUGGGAUCAGUUUUUCCAAACAUUUUGUUCAUUAACUUCAAUAGAAAUUUAAUAACCAACUUAACCACAUCGGACAUAAAGCAGUUUCCUAAAUUAGAGAUGAUCAAACUGACGAACAAUAAAAUCAGCGGAAUUUACGAGAACAUUUUCAAACAAUUGCCAUUAACUCACAUUGAAAUCGACAAUAAUUACUUAGAGUAUGUUUUCGAAGGCCUGACAUAUUCCACAUCGUUAGACUAUUUAAAUUUUAAAAAUAAUAAGUGUAUUGACAUGGUGGCCAGUUCACCAGAUGGCAUCGACCAUUUGAAAGAUAAACUACUUCUUAGAUGUUCCCUAAAACCACGGACGAAGCAAUUAGAAAGCGAUGUAGUGGAUAUUAAAAAACAAGAUGAGAUAUCUAAUGACCGAGUUAGAACUUUAGAAAAAGUAAUUCAUAAAUUGAAAGAAGCAUUGACAAUAAAUUUCCAAUAAAGAUUUUGUUACGAAAA